AAAAUAUCCUCAUAAGUUAGACGAAAAGAGGUACCAUUUGUGAUUUCUAUUACUAAGACUUUUGUUUUAAUAAUUGAUAGAUAAAUGGUGGCACAUAAUCGGAGGCCCCGACUGUUUACUAAAAACACAACACAGUGCAAUCAUUAAUAUGGUAGUAUACUGUGUGAAAUUUGCCCAAUGCCAUUAAUAUAAAAGCGGUCAUAGGAAACUGUGACUAAUUGAAAAUCUGGUUAAUAGCGGUCUUAACCAUGAGGAUCCUAAGGUAGCAAAAUAAAUUGGCCAUUAAAUGUGGUCCGGUAUCAAUAAUGUAACGAUGGCCUCACUGUCUCUACAACUUGCUCAGUGAAAUUGAAUUACGCGUGCAGAUGCGCGUUACCUCCAGUGGGACGGGAAGACCCUAUGAG
This 404-nucleotide ribosomal RNA is filed under the name Amanita crenulata. RNAcentral's name for it is "LSU rRNA". It matches the Rfam family "Bacterial large subunit ribosomal RNA", at positions 1719 to 2097 of the family's 2925-position model. The record is from RNAcentral. Lineage: Eukaryota; Fungi; Basidiomycota; Agaricomycetes; Agaricales; Amanitaceae.